UACGGAGGGUGCAAGCGUUAUCCGGAUUUACUGGGUUUAAAGGGUGCGUAGGCGGAUUUGUAAGUCCGAGGUGAAAUCUCCGAGCUUAACUCGGAAACUGCCUUGGAUACUAUAAGUCUUGAAUGACGUUGAGGUUAGCGGAAUAUGUCAUGUAGCGGUGAGAUGCUUAGAGAUGACAUAGAACAUCUAUUGCGAAGGCAGCUAACUAAGCGUAUAUUGACGCUAAGGCGCGAAAGCGUGGGGAUCAAACAGG
RNAcentral lists this ribosomal RNA (253 nucleotides) under uncultured bacterium. RNAcentral describes it as "partial 16S ribosomal RNA". It matches the Rfam family "Bacterial small subunit ribosomal RNA", at positions 524 to 776 of the family's 1533-position model. The record is from RNAcentral.